Molecule: non-coding RNA, 142 nt
Organism: Solanum lycopersicum (tomato)
Lineage: Eukaryota; Viridiplantae; Streptophyta; Magnoliopsida; Solanales; Solanaceae
Source: RefSeq, marked provisional
AGAAAUUGAAAAUCAGGAAGAGGCAUAUUUCACGUUUGUGCGUGAAUCUAACAACUCUUUUCAUCUGAAAAACUGUUAUUGUUUGCUAGAUUCACGCACAAGCUCGUAAUAUGGCUUUUCCAAUCUCUGCGCUUUGAUUUCU